Carassius carassius (crucian carp) is the source of this 1157-nucleotide long non-coding RNA. RefSeq lists it as uncharacterized. NCBI's taxonomy places the organism in Eukaryota, Metazoa, Chordata, Actinopteri, Cypriniformes, Cyprinidae. The record is from RefSeq and is a predicted model, not a curated record. The transcript is spliced from 5 exons.
UCGAAGCGAUAUAGCCCAAGUCAUGCAGAGGCAAACCGAAAGCGAUGAGAUCCAGCUGUGACGUUAAAUUCCAAUGGACUAUAAGCGUUUCAAUGACAUUAAGACCAAGAAAGCGUUAGAGUUAUUAAAACAACUGGCAGCCUGACUUGAUUCGCGGGGAAAAUCAAUAGGAAAACAUGAAUUUCCAUUUGUCCAUCUUGAGGCGAGUUUGCAGUGACGGCUUCGGUCUGCAUGUGAAUAUGGCUCAAAAAUGACCAAUGUAUCGUCUUGGCACUUUUUUGAUGCUUAUUAUACUACCUCUUGCCUUUUCCUGUGAAAGUGGUCACAAUAAAAACCAGAUCACCGAGGAUUACCGCAAUAUCAUUAAGAGACAACUGAAGCACGUUGAGGCUAUUAUUGAACAACUCUGUUCAAACUGCACAGUAAGAAAUGUCAGCAUGUCGAAGGAGCUAAAAAAUACACAGUCCAUCCACAGAAAAAUCUGCAAGGUUAACGGAAAACUGAGAAGAACCGAGUCGUCUUCAGAGAAUGUAAAUCUGAAAGAAGCGUUACAUAAACUCGUGGGAGAAAUAAAUACGUCCUUGAGAUGUUGGUGCCAUGGAAAGAUAGAGGGGAAAAAUAAGCCAAUACAGCAAAUGCGAGAGUGGAAGCUAUGCAGAGUGAAAGACAUUCUCGCCAACUUACAGAGACACUUCGAACAAUACAAUGCAUAUCUGUCAUUCAGCACAGACCUUCAAGAGCGUGGGAAGACUUCAGAGCAAACCGGUAUAUAAUACUUGAGCUCCGUCCAUCUUGUAGCUCUAUUACAACAAAUGAUUGUACAAAAUAUGAAGAAAAAACUGGACGCACCAUGUGCCAUUCACACUAUUCAGUAUUUGACUGAAGAAAAACUUUUUAAGGGAAAAUAUGUGCAAACUAUACACAUACUACUUGCGCAUGAAAUGUUUCAAAACUUACUUCGGAUUGUUAUCUUUGAGUACGGAGGGUGCAGCAAAAUGGAACUCACAAAUUAGAAACUUGGUUUCAAAGCCUAUAUUAUAUACAUUUUUAAGGCCUCAAGAUACAACUUUGUUGUUUCACAUGCUUCAUUUUUGGGAAGUGACCCUAUCAAAGUCUUACAAGUUUAAAGGCUUACAGUAAAUCCAAAGAUUACGCUC